UUUCGUGCCUUCGGGAACUCUGAGACAGGUGCUGCAUGGCUGUCGUCAGCUCGUGUUGUGAAAUGUUGGGUUAAGUCCCGUAACGAGCGCAACCCUUGUCCUUAUUUGCCAGCACAUAAUGGUGGGAACUCUAAGGAGACUGCCGGUGACAAACCGGAGGAAGGUGGGGACGACGUCAAGUCAUCAUGGCCCUUACGAGUCGGGCUACACACGUGCUACAAUGGCCGGUACAGAGGGCCGCGAACCUGCGAAGGUAUGCUAAUCUCAUAAAACCGGUCGUAGUCCGGAUUGGAGUCUGCAACUCGACUCCAUGAAGUCGGAAUCGCUAGUAAUCGUGGAUCAGAAUGCCACGGUGAAUACGUUCCCGGGCCUU
This 373-nucleotide ribosomal RNA is filed under the name uncultured bacterium. RNAcentral describes it as "bacterial SSU rRNA". It matches the Rfam family "Bacterial small subunit ribosomal RNA", at positions 1010 to 1382 of the family's 1533-position model. The record is from RNAcentral.